This 496-nucleotide ribosomal RNA is filed under the name uncultured bacterium. Its description in RNAcentral is "partial 16S ribosomal RNA". It matches the Rfam family "Bacterial small subunit ribosomal RNA", at positions 29 to 507 of the family's 1533-position model. The record is from RNAcentral.
AUGAACGCUGGCGGCGUGCCUAAUACAUGCAAGUCGCGCGAACGGACGAGAAGCUUGCUUCUCUGAUGUUAGCGGCGGACGGGUGAGUAACACGUGGAUAACCUACCUAUAAGACUGGGAUAACUUCGGGAAACCGGAGCUAAUACCGGAUGAUAUUUUGAACCGCAUGGUUCAAAAGUGAAAGACGGUCUUGCUGUCACUUAUAGAUGGAUCCGCGCUGCAUUAGCUAGUUGGUAAGGUAACGGCUUACCAAGGCAACGAUGCAUAGCCGACCUGAGAGGGUGAUCGGCCACACUGGAACUGAGACACGGUCCAGACUCCUACGGGAGGCAGCAGUAGGGAAUCUUCCGCAAUGGGCGAAAGCCUGACGGAGCAACGCCACGUGAGUGAUGAAGGUCUUCGGAUCGUAAAACUCUGUUAUUAGGGAAGAACAUAUGUGUAAGUAACUGUGCACAUCUUGACGGUACCUAAUCAGAAAGCCACGGCUAACUACGUG